Molecule: ribosomal RNA, 425 nt
Filed under: Priestia aryabhattai
Lineage: Bacteria; Bacillati; Bacillota; Bacilli; Caryophanales; Bacillaceae
Description: bacterial SSU rRNA
Rfam family: Bacterial small subunit ribosomal RNA
Source: RNAcentral
AAAGAUGGUUUCGGCUAUCACUUACAGAUGGGCCCGCGGUGCAUUAGCUAGUUGGUGAGGUAACGGCUCACCAAGGCCACGAUGCAUAGCCGACCUGAGAGGGUGAUCGGCCACACUGGGACUGAGACACGGCCCAGACUCCUACGGGAGGCAGCAGUAGGGAAUCUUCCGCAAUGGACGAAAGUCUGACGGAGCAACGCCGCGUGAGUGAUGAAGGCUUUCGGGUCGUAAAACUCUGUUGUUAGGGAAGAACAAGUACGAGAGUAACUGCUCGUACCUUGACGGUACCUAACCAGAAAGCCACGGCUAACUACGUGCCAGCAGCCGCGGUAAUACGUAGGUGGCAAGCGUUAUCCGGAAUUAUUGGGCGUAAAGCGCGCGCAGGCGGUUUCUUAAGUCUGAUGUGAAAGCCCACGGCUCAACCG